This 459-nucleotide ribosomal RNA is filed under the name uncultured bacterium. Its description in RNAcentral is "partial 16S ribosomal RNA". It matches the Rfam family "Bacterial small subunit ribosomal RNA", at positions 338 to 795 of the family's 1533-position model. The record is from RNAcentral.
CCUACGGGAGGCAGCAGUGAGGAAUAUUGGUCAAUGGUCGGGAGACUGAACCAGCCAAGCCGCGUGAGGGAGGAAGGUACAGAGUAUCGUAAACCUCUUUUGUCAGGGAACAAAGGCGGGGACGUGUCCCCGGAUGAGUGUACCUGAAGAAAAAGCAUCGGCUAACUCCGUGCCAGCAGCCGCGGUAAUACGGAGGAUGCGAGCGUUAUCCGGAUUUAUUGGGUUUAAGGGGUGCGCAGGCGGUCUGGUAAGUCAGCGGGCAAAGCCCGGGGCUCAACCCCGGCCCGCCGUUGAAACUGGCAGUCUCGAGUUGGAGAGAAGUAUGCGGAAUGCGCGGUGUAGCGGUGAAAUGCAUAGAUAUCGCGCAGAACUCCGAUUGCGAAGGCAGCAUGCCGGCUCCACACUGACGCUGAGGCACGAAAGCGUGGGUAUCGAACAGGAUUAGAUACCCCAGUAGUC